GAUGAAGAACGCAGCGAAAUGCGAUAAGUAAUGUGAAUUGCAGAAUUCAGUGAAUCAUCGAAUCUUUGAACGCACAUUGCGCCCCCUGGUAUUCCGGCGGGCAUGCCUGUCCGAGCGUCAUUGCUGCCCUCAAGCACGGCUUGUGUGUUGGGCCUCCGUCCUCCUCCCGGGGGACGGGCCCGAAAGGCAGCGGCGGCACCGCGUCCGGUCCUCGAGCGUAUGGGGCUUCGUCACCCGCUCUUGUAGGCCCGGCCGGCGCUUGCCGACACAUCAAUCUUUUUUCCAGGUUGACCUCGGAUCAGGUAGGGAUACCCGCUGAACUUAAGCAUAUCAAUAAGCGGAGGA
This 345-nucleotide unclassified non-coding RNA is filed under the name soil metagenome. RNAcentral describes it as "partial contains 5.8S ribosomal RNA, internal transcribed spacer 2, and large subunit ribosomal RNA". The stretch from base 1 to 120 matches the Rfam family "5.8S ribosomal RNA", at positions 35 to 154 of the family's 154-position model. The record is from RNAcentral.